AAAAUGAUAGAAAUCCUUGAAAUGUCACAAUCUAGUAAUAAUAUAGAGAAAAACUGAUAGCAAAUGUGUUUGUGGUGUUUGGGAAAAUAUGAAUGCCCUAGCAAAAGAAUAUGCUUAGCAAUUUAAAACACGGGGCAAAGACUAGAAGCCCCUGCCACUCUAAGCAGAGCGAGGGCGGUGUGAAGUUAAGGCGAAAUUGGGAUCAAAAGGCAUUGAAAACAUUGCGUGCAUGAUUAGAGAGCUACUGCUAGGUUGCAAGAGGCCGGUCUGACUAGGAGCGCGGCCGUGGGGCGCGUGGCAGUGGGUGGAGGCACGAGGGCGAGCAUGGGCGUGGCCACGGGCUGGAGGAGCGAGGACGGCCAGAGGAGCGGCCACGGGGCUCGCGUGGCACAGCUGGAGAGCGCGGAUGCGAUACAAGGCGCAGCUGCAAAGAAAAUAAGGGAGCAGCCGCAAGUUUGGGGGGCCGCAGCCUUGGAUGGCCAUGUGUCAUCCAAAGCGCGCGAUGAGGCCUCGACCUCUUCUUUCGGCAUUUUACCUAUUUUCAGCUUUCCUAUAUCCUGUUGUCUACNCGACCCGAUUUACUCUUUCAUUUACUUUCAAUUACUUUCAAUACGAUUUUUUCUUAAUAUUGUUUACUGGCUUGAGCGUCGGAGGCCCUUCCAUCGACACCCCCACCGGUGCUACAAGAACGUCAUUUCAAUAUAAGGUUAGUGUCAUUUUCGAAAUAGUGUCAUUUGUAAAACAAAAUGGUGUUAGUGUUAUAUUCAACCUAAAGUAUACCUCUAGAUUGCUCGCAAGAGAACGAGGUCAAUCAUAGAGUGAUAAGUUGCCCAAGUCGUAUCCACAAGGAAAGCUUAACAUGGCUAGUGAGUUAUGCGUUACACACAGAAAACAAAUAAAUCCUAAACAUUCUAUUCAAGUAGUUCAAAGUUGUGUAUCUAAAACAACGACAAAUAAACUCAAGAUAAUAAAACAACCGGAAAUUCAAGGAUUAAAGAUUCUAGGGCGACAGAUCAUCUUCUUGGAAAAUCAAUUAACAAGUGAAGAUCAUGCACAAUUUAUAAACUCACAAAAUUCUCCUAACGUAGGUGCUCAAACCAUAAUUUUCACAUUCAAGUAUGAGUCUACGCUAAUUAAAUCACAUGAAUUCAUCAAUUAUUAGACUACACGUUUCCGAUUAAGUCUAAUUCCAAUUCAACCACGGUCAAGCAACGAGUUCUUCUCUCGAUCUCACACGUUGCAAACACAAUCAAGCAGUGAUCAAUUGCUAAAUCGAAUAUCAAACAAUUGAAUCGGAUAAAGUGCAUCAAUACAUCACAAGCAAAUCAAUUAAACUCAAUUGAAUCUUCAACCCUAGAUUGUGGAAAUUAGUUCAUCAUGCUGUAUAAUUAAAGUAGAGAAAAGGUAAACCAUGGAAUUAAAACAAGGAAGAAAGAUAAAGAAAUAACUGUGAAAUUCAAAGUGCAAAUCCGUUCCAAUGCGUAAAGAAAGUGAAAUAAAAUGAAAAACUAAAGUUCUCCUAUUGUUCUUGCUUCAAAAAGGGAAAAGGAUGGAAGUUAAUUCUAAGUGAAAAAGAUCUAUUUGAAUCUCUAAAAACCGCCCUUCUAAUGAGAAUUCCCGUCAGAAAACUGUCAGGGUCAGCCCGGUUGACUAGUGCGCCGCGGCUCACUUCACAUUCUGCCCAUUUUCCUUCAAGCAGUCAACCCGGUUGGCUAGUGCGCCGCGGCUCACUGCCUUCUCUUCUCAAUCUUCUUCUAAUCACCCCCGAUUCAUUGUGAGCCAUGGUUAGCAUAUCUUAAACACUCUCUUUUGCGUCGUUGUGAGCUUUCUUCACAACCUUCAAAUGCUUUAACAUCGACAUUCUUCAUUUAACACCUAAAGCAUCACAAUUAACCAUUAAGCUCAAAUUAACACAAAAUCACCAAUACUCUACACAACUUUUACAAUAAAAUAUGACUAAACUAAUAAUAGACAAUGGCACAAACACGACGAAACAGUCAUUAUCCGUAGUUCUUGGAUUCAUCCCCAACAACUGUAACACACAACAUAUUUUAGCACUGAAAAACAUAUUUUCACCAAAUAAUUUUUCCGCUAACUUCUUCAACUGAUAAUACUAUAUACAAACUAUGCUAAAAACUUAGACUUAAAGAUUUUCACAAACAUGCGAGUAGCUUACCUACUGCAUUCUGCACCACAUCAGAUCACUUUAAGUUAGACAAGUUUAAUAUGGAUUGUCAGUUGACUCAACUCAAAACACCUAUUAAAUUGACUCGCAAUCGUACGAAGUUAUUUUAGUGGAAUAAGCUAACCCCGGUCGUAUUUAUCAAGGAAGGCUAAGCAGGUCAACGAUUCAUGCUAUGCACGUAAAACAGUAUAAUCCUAACACUUUAAACAAUAAUUGGGUCUGGCGUUGCUCUCACUCGCCCUAGGCUUAAAUAGGGAUGUCAAAAAAGCCCGAAACCGACGGGUCGACCCGAAUAGACCGAUAAAAAAGGUGGGCUAGGGCUGAAAAUUUUUAACCCGAAAAAAAUUUAGCCCAAAUGGCCCGAACCAAAAAUAGCCCGAGCCCGAUAGGAUUGGCCCGAAAACCGAGUGGGUUGGCCCGAUUAACCGAACACAUUUUUAAGAAUUGAUUUUUAAACUUUAAUACUUUACUUUUUAAUUCGAUAAUAAUAUUUUGAUGCUUGUAGAAUAUGUUUUGAUUUUUUCCAAUGGUUAAUAACAAAAAUCUAUGAUAUAAAAGUCAUAGAAAGAUAGUCAUUUAUGUUAAAUCUAUAUUCAAUUUUUAUCAGAAACGAAAUUAAAGUUGGAUAUUAUGUAAACUUAUAUUAAAAAAACACUAAUUUUUGUAUCUAAAAUAAAGCGAAAUGUAUUGAUUUAAAAAAUACGACAUAUUUUUAUUACAAGUAUAUGAUUAUCUAUAAAAAAUAAACAUAUAAAAAAAAUCGUAAAACUUGCGGGCCCGAACGGGCUAGCCCGAAACCGAGUGGGUUAGGGUUAGGGUCGAAAAAUUUUAGCCCGAAAAAUAAAAAAACCGACUAGCCCGAACCGAAAAUAGCCCGAAACCGAAUGGGCUGACCCGAAACCGAGUGGACUGACCCGAUUGACAUCCCUAGGCUUAAACUAAAUGAAUAAAGGUAAAAAUACUAAGGACAUGAGACAUAGAACCAACAAUACAAUAGUAAAAACAUGUAAAUAUAGCUAAAUAUGUGAAGACAAGAAUUAACACAAAUCAAACCACUCUUAGAUUCCACACUCUAUUAAAUUCAAUUAACUAAACCCCUUAACAAGCUAUCAAGUAUAGAUCAAUGAUAAUGCAUAAAGGAAAAUACGCGGUAAAAAUUUAGACCAAAAAGUAAAGCAAUAAUAAUCAAUAAUCCAAGGCAAGUAAUGAAAGAACUAUGAUCCAAAAGCAAAUCAAACCAAACAAUCAAUCAAGCAAGAAUGACAAGUUACAUAGGGCACGAUAAUUCAAGAAUACUAUAGAAAAAUAAUAAGCAAUAACAAUUCAAUAAUAAUCAUCAUAUUAGAGUAAUUCUUACAAAAUGAUAGAAAUCCUUGAAAUGUACAAUCUAGUAAUAAUAUAGAGAAAAACUGAUAGCAAAUGUGUUUGUGGUGUUUGGGAAAAUAUGAAUGCCCUAGCAAAAGAAUAUGUUUAGCAAUUUAAAACACGGGGCAAAGACUAGAAGCCCCUGCCACUCUAAGCAGAGCGAGGGCUGUGUGAAGUUAAGGCGAAAUUGGGAUCAAAAGGCAUUGAAAACAUUGCGUGCAUGAUUAGAGAGCUACUGCUAGGUUGCAAGAGGCGCGGUCGUGACUAGGAGCGCGGCCGUGGGGCGCGUGGCAGUGGGUGGAGGCACGAGGGCGAGCAUGGGCGUGGCCGCGGGCUGGAGGAGCGAGGACGGCCAGAGGAGCGGCCAGAGACGGAUCUAAAGGCCAGGCCACCUCGGCCGUCGCCCAGUCAAUUUUUUUUUUUUUGUUACCUAUAAAUGUAUGAUUUUAAUUUUUUUUAUCUAUAUAUGUUAAUCUCGCCCGGUCAUAAUUGUGUCAUUUCAAAUAAUUAUUCAAGAUUCAACUCGUUUUCUUUACUAAAACUUUAUUAGAAUCAUCCGGUGAAAUCUUGCCCGGUCAUUAUUAAAUUUCU
Molecule: long non-coding RNA, 4141 nt
Filed under: Salvia miltiorrhiza (redroot sage)
Lineage: Eukaryota; Viridiplantae; Streptophyta; Magnoliopsida; Lamiales; Lamiaceae
Description: long non-coding RNA (SMIL_LNC008825)
Source: RNAcentral